RNAcentral lists this small RNA (283 nucleotides) under Thiohalorhabdus denitrificans. RNAcentral's name for it is "5' ureB small RNA". It matches the Rfam family "5' ureB small RNA". Lineage: Bacteria; Pseudomonadati; Pseudomonadota; Gammaproteobacteria; Thiohalorhabdales; Thiohalorhabdaceae. The record is from Rfam by way of RNAcentral.
CUUCCACCAGCUGCGGGCAGAUGAAGUGGAUGUGGGCGUCGAUCCCCCCGGCGGUGGCGAUCAGGCCCUCCCCGGCGAUGGCUUCGGUUCCCGGCCCCACCACCAGGUCCACGCCGGGCUGGGUGUCCGGAUUGCCGGCCUUGCCGAUGCCCAGGAUGCGACCGUCCUUGAUGCCGAUGUCGGCCUUAACCACCCCCCAGUGAUCGAGGAUCAAAGCGUUGGUGAUGACCACGUCGGCCACCUCGGCGGCGGGUUGUUGGCUCUGGCCCAUGCCGUCGCGGAU